CAAUAAGGAGACAAGCUAAAAUUGCCGCGUCCUGCGGCAACGCUUGCAUGACCAACAUCCUGUUGG
Molecule: small RNA, 66 nt
Filed under: Oceanobacillus oncorhynchi
Lineage: Bacteria; Bacillati; Bacillota; Bacilli; Caryophanales; Bacillaceae
Description: Bacillaceae-1 RNA
Rfam family: Bacillaceae-1 RNA
Source: Rfam by way of RNAcentral